Panthera uncia (snow leopard) is the source of this 677-nucleotide long non-coding RNA. RefSeq lists it as uncharacterized. The transcript has 2 exons. The record is from RefSeq and is a predicted model, not a curated record. NCBI's taxonomy places the organism in Eukaryota, Metazoa, Chordata, Mammalia, Carnivora, Felidae.
GGUGACGUAACUAAUCUCUCUUCUGCCAAACAACUCCAGUUCCCUGGACCGCUGCAAUUAGAACGAGUGGACCUUGCUGACCCAUAAGGGAGAAAGGGAAGGGAGGUGGGGGGAGACACUCAGAGGUUAAGGCGUAGAGGCUGGAGAAGCGGCCCAGGAGGGAAUCUGAGAGCCUCGAAUCGUGAAGGGACGCACAAAGACUUACCAAUGAGACCUACUUGGGAGUGAGAAUGUCUGGCUUCUGGUCGCAGAGCUCCAGAGAAGGUACCGUUUGUACUUUGAAGGGUGCAGCAGUUUUAACUCACAAUGAAAGAAAGCAGACAUUCCAGAAGGGGGAAGUUAAAAUAAGCAGAGAAUAGCAAAUCGUCGAUUCUGGAUUAUUUGCCUACUUAAUUCAACAAAUAAUGGGCAGCUACAGAAGGCUUGUGGAAGACUACUGGAACAAAGCUCUUCAUCAGGAGAAUUUAAAUGGUAGCAGUGAAUAAAAUGGACUGCAGACUACAGGGCAGACUUCUGCACUGAGUAAAAGAUUCACACCUGAAGUAAAGCAGAGACAGCAGGGAUGGAGACCAGGGAAUGAACUCAACCAAGAUUGAAGGGAUUAACUCAACAACACUCCCAUGUAGAGAAUGGGAGGGAGAAUAAAUCAUGGGAGAAUAAAUCAUAAGAAAAAGCAA